AACCGCUUCAAACUCAAAAGACUUGACAGUAUCUCAUACACCUAGAGGAGCCUGUCCUAUAAUCGAUAACCCACGAUCAACCUUACCCCCCCUUGCACAAAUCAGCCUAUAUACCUCCGUCGCCAGUACGCCUGUUAACAGCUACAUAAGCGUAUAUAAUAGUCCACCACUAACACGACAGGUCAAGGUGUAGCUAAUGGGCGGGACAGCGAUGGGCUACAUUUUCUUCACUAGAAAACACCCAACAUGUAAUGAAAACGUCACAUAAAGGCGGAUUUAGCAGUAA
RNAcentral lists this ribosomal RNA (286 nucleotides) under Uroplatus phantasticus. Its description in RNAcentral is "partial 12S ribosomal RNA". It matches the Rfam family "Bacterial small subunit ribosomal RNA", at positions 890 to 1341 of the family's 1533-position model. The record is from RNAcentral. Lineage: Eukaryota; Metazoa; Chordata; Lepidosauria; Squamata; Gekkonidae.